UAGGGGAAUCUUCCACAAUGGGCGAAAGUCUGAUGGAGCAACGCCGCGUGAGUGAAGAAGGUUUUCGGAUCGUAAAGCUCUGUUGUUGGUGAAGAAGGAUAGAGGCAGUAACUGGUCUUUAUUUGACGGUAAUCAACCAGAAAGUCACGGCUAACUACGUGUCAG
This 165-nucleotide ribosomal RNA is filed under the name uncultured bacterium. RNAcentral's name for it is "partial 16S rRNA". It matches the Rfam family "Bacterial small subunit ribosomal RNA", at positions 354 to 511 of the family's 1533-position model. The record is from RNAcentral.